AACGAACGCUGGCGGCAUGCCUAACACAUGCAAGUCGAACGAGACCUUCGGGUCUAGUGGCGCACGGGUGCGUAACGCGUGGGAACCUGCCUUUAGGUUCGGAAUAACUCAGAGAAAUUUGAGCUAAUACCGGAUGAUGUCUUCGGACCAAAGAUUUAUCGCCUUUAGAUGGGCCCGCGUUGGAUUAGCUAGUUGGUGGGGUAAAGGCCUACCAAGGCGACGAUCCAUAGCUGGUCUGAGAGGAUGAUCAGCCACACUGGGACUGAGACACGGCCCAGACUCCUAGGGGAGGCAGCAGUGGGGAAUAUAGGACGAUGGGCGGAAGCAUGAUCCAGCAAUGCCGCGUAAGUGAUGAAGGCCUUAGGGUUGUAAAGCUCUUUUACACGAGAUGAUAAUGACGGUAUCGGGAGAAUAAGCUCCGGCUAACUCCGUG
Molecule: ribosomal RNA, 433 nt
Filed under: uncultured bacterium
Lineage: Bacteria
Description: partial 16S ribosomal RNA
Rfam family: Bacterial small subunit ribosomal RNA
Source: RNAcentral